CAGUCUCAGGCGGGCAGUUUGACUGGGGCGGUCGCCUCCGAAAGAGUAACGGAGGCGCCCAAAGGUUCCCUCAGCGCGGACGGAAACCGCGCGAAGAGUGCAAAGGCAGAAGGGAGCUUGACUGCGAGACGGACAGGUCGAGCAGGGACGAAAGUCGGGCUUAGUGAUCCGGUGGUAGAGAGUGGAAUUGCCAUCGCUCAACGGAUAAAAGCUACCCUGGGGAUAACAGGCUUAUCUCUCCCAAGAGUCCAUAUCGACGGGAGGUUUGGCACCUCGAUGUCGGCUCAUCACAUCCUGGGGCUGAAGUAGGUCCCAAGGGUUGGGCUGUUCGCCCAUUAAAGUGGUACGCGAGCUGGGUUCAGAACGUCGUGAGACAGUUCGGUCCCUAUCCAUCGCGGGCGUAAGAAACUUGAAAGGGGCUGCUCCUKAGUACGAGAGGACCGGAGUGGACCGACCAAUGGUGUACCAGUCAUGGCGCCAGCCGUGCAGCUGGGUAGCUACGUCGGGGACGGAUAAACGCUGAAAGCAUCUAAGCGUGAAACCAGCCUAGAGAUGAGGUUUCUCAUUACAUCUGA
RNAcentral lists this ribosomal RNA (575 nucleotides) under Megasphaera sp. NM10. RNAcentral describes it as "bacterial LSU rRNA". It matches the Rfam family "Bacterial large subunit ribosomal RNA", at positions 2252 to 2826 of the family's 2925-position model. The record is from RNAcentral. Lineage: Bacteria; Bacillati; Bacillota; Negativicutes; Veillonellales; Veillonellaceae.